Molecule: long non-coding RNA, 865 nt
Organism: Drosophila arizonae
Lineage: Eukaryota; Metazoa; Arthropoda; Insecta; Diptera; Drosophilidae
Source: RefSeq, a predicted model, not a curated record
CCAGAUUUGAACAGCUCAGAUAGAAAGAACACUUUAUAGUUGAGCAAAAAAUAAUUAUGUAAAUAGAUGCGACUUGGAGAAUUUUACUACAUUCGACUGAGAUCGAAUCUACUUACAUUUGACAUCAUUCAAUAUAAUUGAGAAUUUUUAGCACUCCAUGUCUCUAUACACUUACAUUGAUGGCAACAGGAAUCAGUCAUGCGGUUGGUAGCUUGGCCACGAUACAGCGCAUCGCAUUUCUGGCCAGUCGCUAAAAAACGUGCUUAUGUUCGAGUUGUAGAAAAUCCAAAUGAGCUGCAGAAAAAGAGUGUUGCGAUAAGUAGACUCUUGGAAAGUAGACGUGACAGAAAGAAGACUUAAAACGAUAUAUAUAUAUAUAUAUACUUAUAUACAACAAUCGGAUGCAGGUUUACCAGUAAAAGCAGCAGCUAAAGCUCGCAUCUCAGUCUCUCUUGGAGCUAUUUAAUUAAAAGGUUAUUCAGAUCGAUAUAAAAAAUCAAUCGCAAAAACCAAAGAAAAAAAAUAAUAAUUAAAUAAAAAAAUAAAAAAAAAAGUCAAGCAAUAUUCGGCUCUUAUCGCAACCGCAAGAGCGUCUAUAUAAAUUCACUUCUGCUCUUCAGUAUAAUAUAAGAGAAGCAAAAACUGCACAGAAGAUUUGUGGCCAACUGAACUCAAAACAAACCGGAAAAGUGGAAAAUAUAAUUCGAAUUUUUUCAUGCAAGCAGCAUGAGUACCUAGGACACAAGACAACGAAGAAACAUCACAAAACGUGGGUUGCAAAUAAGUACAUAGUUAAGAGCUUCAAAAGACCUCGCUGAUAGAGCAGAUUCAUCAAAAAGUAAAUAAAAAAAAAUAAAAAUAAAAA